RNAcentral lists this long non-coding RNA (878 nucleotides) under Elaeis guineensis (African oil palm). RNAcentral describes it as "long non-coding RNA (EGUI_LNC060532)". The record is from RNAcentral. Lineage: Eukaryota; Viridiplantae; Streptophyta; Magnoliopsida; Arecales; Arecaceae.
GAGAAAUGUCUAAGAAACGAAAGAAGGCGGCAACAAAAGCAGGAAGCGGAAGCCGGAGUCCAGCACGGAAUGCCUCCUGGUACAAACAAAAGCGACCAGGAGGGGGAGCGCUGGCCCGGUCAGAGGGACCAGGAAGCUCCAGGUCGUACUCUGAAGGGAUCCCGUAACGAGCCCUUAUCAGAAGAAGUUCGUCCGGAGUCGACGAACAAGGAAUGGCGCCCGGUGCGAAAACCGGGCGAGACCCUGCCCCGAACGCGGGUUCGUCCGUGGAGACAGGGGCCUGGGGGUUGGAAGCAGAAGAACUCCCAGAACUUACGGGGGCAGAAGAAUCGGAAGACAUUUUUCUUUGGGGGAGAACCUAAAGGGCCCUAGAAAAGCAAGCCGAGAAAGGAGGGAGACGCCGGAAGUCAACUCGGGAGAAGACACAAAAAAGGGGGAAGGAGGAGAAGACCCUAGGCGGUAAGAAGGAGAAGGUGGGCACUAACCUAUCUUGCUCUGGGGGCCUGGGGAGCGAGAAACGGAAGGCACCUAUGGCUCGAGAGGGCGUUCGCUAAAGCAGACUCUCGGGAGACGACAGACGCCAGCAAGAAAUCAGAAGCGGAGUGGGGCGCCUGAAGGGGGGAGGAUGGGUUUAAAUAGACCUUGGGAUCCGGCGCCAUAAUGAUCUCGAAUCCCCCCAGGCCAGUCCGCAUCCGACACGUGUCCCACUCCCCAUGGCAGACGGCUGAAGGUGGCUGGCGGUUGGCAGGGUCAUAAUUGCACCGUACCUAGGCCAGCGUACCUGCGGGAUAUUCGAAGCAUCCCCUCGUACCGCCCCAACUCGAAAAGACUCCGGCACGCGCUCAUUUAAUACCAAAAUAUCUGGGAGCGGCGGGGCG